Pelobates cultripes (western spadefoot toad) is the source of this 544-nucleotide non-coding RNA. The record is from the annotation of a GenBank genome assembly. Lineage: Eukaryota; Metazoa; Chordata; Amphibia; Anura; Pelobatidae.
GGCGGCAGGAUUCGAAUACUUGAUCCCACUCAUCACCGCUAACAAGAAUGUUAACUGGAUCAAUUACAUCUACUAUAACCAGCAACGAUUUGUCAAUUAUACUAGAGAUGCGCUUCAGGGCUUGGCAAAACAAUUACAGACUACCUCCCAAAUGACAUUUCAGAAUCGAAUAGCCUUAGACAUGAUCCUAGCAGAAAAGGGGGUGUGUGUAAAAUACUCCCCGAUACUAUGACAUGCUGUACCUUUAUCCCAGACAAUACAGGCCCUAACGGUAAGGUAACCAUGGCUAUAGAGAAAUUAGAAAGUCUUUCUGAUGAAUUAAAGAGGAAUUCGGGAGUCUCCAAUUCAUGGGACAGAUGGUUUGGAUGGAUGAGUGGAUGGCAGAAAACUCUCCUUCAAGUAGGUAUGGCAGUUCUUACUGUGGUAAUUCUCAUUCUCUUCCGGAUUUGCUGUGUGAUGCCCUGUGUGCAGAAAUAUUUACAGAAGACUGUAGGUCAGACUAUUGACCGCACUACACCUACAUUCCUACAUCAGGAUAUCGACG